CAGCCGCCACGGGAAUACGAAGGGUGCAAGCGUUACUCGGAAUUACUGGGCGUAAAGCGUGCGUAGGUGGUGGUUUAAGUCCGUUGUGAAAGCCCUGGGCUCAACCUGGGAAUUGCAGUGGAUACUGGAUCACUAGAGUGUGGUAGAGGAUAGUGGAAUUUCCGGUGAAGCAGUGAAAUGCGUAGAGAUCGGAAGGAACAUCUGUGGCGAAGGCGACUAUCUGGGCCAACACUGACACUGAGGCACGAAAGCGUGGGGAGCAAACAGGAUUAGAUACCCCGGUAGUCCCUGUCUCUUAUAC
Molecule: ribosomal RNA, 301 nt
Filed under: uncultured bacterium
Lineage: Bacteria
Description: partial 16S ribosomal RNA
Rfam family: Bacterial small subunit ribosomal RNA
Source: RNAcentral